RNAcentral lists this ribosomal RNA (615 nucleotides) under Chaenothecopsis montana. RNAcentral describes it as "eukaryotic LSU rRNA". The stretch from base 223 to 376 matches the Rfam family "5.8S ribosomal RNA". Lineage: Eukaryota; Fungi; Ascomycota; Eurotiomycetes; Mycocaliciales; Mycocaliciaceae. The record is from RNAcentral.
GGAAGUAAAAGUCGUAACAAGGUUUCCGUAGGUGAACCUGCGGAAGGAUCAUUAUCGAGCGUUAGGGUCUCUCAGGCCCGACCUCCAACCCCAUGUGUACCCGUCCACGUUGCUUCGGCGGCCGUUCGCGCCCCCCCUCCCCGGGGAGGCUCGCCGCCGCCGGAGGCACCAUCAAACCAUUGUAUGUCUCGUGCAGUCUGAGCAUCAAAAGAAUUUAAACAAAACUUUCAACAACGGAUCUCUUGGUUCUGGCAUCGAUGAAGAACGCAGCAAAAUGCGAUAAGUAAUGUGAAUUGCAGAAUUCAGUGAAUCAUCGAAUCUUUGAACGCACAUUGCGCCCCCUGGCAUUCCGGGGGGCAUGCCUGUUCGAGCGUCAUUAUCACCACUCAAGCCCGGCUUGCUGUUGGGUGCCGUCCCCCCCGGGCUCCCGGGGAGGACCCGCCCGGAAACCAGUGACGGCCCCGCCCGACCUCAAGCGUAGUAAGAUUUCCAUCAUCGCCGCUUUGGAGGGACGCGACGGCGCGCCGGUCAGCCCAAACACCGAAUUUCUUUCAGGUUGACCUCGGAUCAGGUAGGGAUACCCGCUGAACUUAAGCAUAUCAAUAAGCGGAGGAA